UAGAGAUGUGGAGGAACACCAGUGGCGAAGGCGACUCUCUGGUCUGUAACUGACGCUGAGGAGCGAAAGCGUGGGGAGCGAACAGGAUUAGAUACCCUGGUAGUCCACGCCGUAAACGAUGAGUGCUAAGUGUUAGGGGGUUUCCGCCCCUUAGUGCUGCAGCUAACGCAUUAAGCACUCCGCCUGGGGAGUACGGUCGCAAGACUGAAACUCAAAGGAAUUGACGGGGGCCCGCACAAGCGGUGGAGCAUGUGGUUUAAUUCGAAGCAACGCGAAGAACCUUACCAGGUCUUGACAUCCUCUGACAAUCCUAGAGAUAGGACGUCCCCUUCGGGGGCAGAGUGACAGGUGGUGCAUGGUUGUCGUCAGCUCGUGUCGUGAGAUGUUGGGUUAAGUCCCGCAACGAGCGCAACCCUUGAUCUUAGUUGCCAGCAUUCAGUUGGGCACUCUAAGGUGACUGCCGGUGACAAACCGGAGGAAGGUGGGGAUGACGUCAAAUCAUCAUGCCCCUUAUGACCUGGGCUACACACGUGCUACAACGAAAAAAAAAAAGGGCAGCGAAACCGCGAGGUUAAGCCAAUCCCACAAAUCUGUUCUCAGUUCGGAUCGCAGUCUGCAACUCGACUGCGUGAAGCUGAAUCGCUAGUAAUCGCGGAUCAGCAUGCCGCGGGUGAAAUACGUUCCCGGGCCUUGUA
This 695-nucleotide ribosomal RNA is filed under the name Bacillus sp. HPTBS-5. RNAcentral's name for it is "bacterial SSU rRNA". It matches the Rfam family "Bacterial small subunit ribosomal RNA", at positions 691 to 1385 of the family's 1533-position model. Lineage: Bacteria; Bacillati; Bacillota; Bacilli; Caryophanales; Bacillaceae. The record is from RNAcentral.